This 1115-nucleotide long non-coding RNA is filed under the name Gossypium raimondii (Peruvian cotton). RNAcentral's name for it is "long non-coding RNA (GRAI_LNC008695)". Lineage: Eukaryota; Viridiplantae; Streptophyta; Magnoliopsida; Malvales; Malvaceae. The record is from RNAcentral.
AAAAAAACAAAAAAUAUAAAUUACAUUUUAGCCCAUGAUCUUUUCAAAAAUUAUAUUUUGACCCCAAACUUUUCUAUAAAUUACAUUUUAACCCCGAAAUUUUUUUAAAUCACACUUUGACCCCUUAACUUUCCAUAAAUUACAUUAUAGCCCUAUAUUUUGCUAAAAUUUCAUUUUUGCCCCAGAAACUUUUCACCCGUUACAAUUUAGUCCUUCUGGGCAUGACAAGACUGCCCCCACCAGCAUUCUUGCGUGCCCCGCUCGCCACGCCUGCCACCCCAAUGCAUGGCCUCCCUCCUCCAUUGCCACCUGAAAACAAGAAGAAGGAGACAAAAUGAAAUGAGAUUAAAAAUAAAAAUUGAAGAGGAGGAGAGGGGGGUUCUAAAAAAAAAACUUCAAAAAAAAAAACAAAAGAGAAUAAGCAAAGAAAUUCCAAAAAAAAAAAAGCUCUCAAUCCGGCCGAUUGCCUCCACCGCCACCAAGUCCGUCGCGCCACCACCAUUGUCAUCUCACCGUCGAGUCCUAAACGCAAAAAACAAAAACAAAGAAAAAGCAAGCAAAAGAGAAAAAGAGAAAGAGCAGAGAAGAAAAAGAAAAAGGAAAAGGGGGGAGAGCAUACCUCCGUGCGCGCCACCGUCGGCCGACGCACCAGGCGGAGAGACAUCACCGGCGACACAAAGGGGCUGCUGCUGAACGGAGAAGGAAGAAAAAAGAAAGAAGAAAGAAAGAAAGAAAAAAGAAGGAAGACAAAGAAAGAAAAAAGAGAAAAAAAAAGGAAAGAAAAAAAAUAAAAAAAUAAAUUAACAGUCGGGUCAAACCGACCGACCCGACCUGACCCACGGUACCCAGCAGCAGCAACAGGCCCGUUCCCAGUGGCCCAAAACAGUAACCAGCAAAAAAAAAAGAAGCAGCAGAUUUGUUUUAAAAAAAGCAGCAGCCCAACAGAAGCAGGCCUCCAGCAGACCCAUUGCGCAGGCCCAACGUAGGCCCAGCAGCAGCAAGCCUCCAGGCUCAGCAGCAGCAGGCCGAGCAGGCCCCUUUCGGCCCAGCGCCCAGGCCCGAAUCCGGCAGCCCAACAUCCAGCAAAAAAAAAAGGAAAGAGAAGAAAAAAAAAA